Molecule: ribosomal RNA, 371 nt
Filed under: Chaetozone sp. MB5
Lineage: Eukaryota; Metazoa; Annelida; Polychaeta; Terebellida; Cirratulidae
Description: partial 16S ribosomal RNA
Rfam family: Bacterial large subunit ribosomal RNA
Source: RNAcentral
CGUGCUAAGGUAGCAUAAUGACCCGCCCUUUAAUUGAGGGCCAGUAUGAAAGGACCCACGAAGGUUAAGCUGUCUCAUUAGGGCCCCUAAAAACUAACCUCCUGGUGAACAGGCCCGGAUCUCAAAAAAAGACAAAAAGACCCUGUAGAGCUUUACACGUACGACAUCACAGACUUAUAAUUUUAUAUAGACUGCCCCAUGUAUAAAUGUUUGGUUGGGAUGACAGAGGGCCAACCAAAACGCCCCUUACCCUCUUAGACUAAUAAGUCAUAAAUUGAUCCAAAUAACUUGUAUCAGAAGACAUAGCUACCUCAGGGAUAACAGACUAAUCCCCCUCGAGAGCCCGAAUUGACAGGGGGGCUUGGCACCUC